This is a long non-coding RNA of Stegodyphus dumicola, 466 nucleotides long. The record is from RefSeq and is a predicted model, not a curated record. NCBI's taxonomy places the organism in Eukaryota, Metazoa, Arthropoda, Arachnida, Araneae, Eresidae.
UCCAGGUUCAGGCAACUCACUUGAGUAGCUAUUCGAGCAUAAGAGCACGCUGAAAGCUGCAGUCUGCUCUUUAUCAAAACACUGCUCUUUCUGAUCGUACAUUCCGAAGGCACACAUUUGAAAGCACAUAAAGUAGUACCUCUCUCGUAAGGAGAAAGUUACUGUAGACAUAAGAAAGUCAAGUGUGCGGGCUUUAGUAUCGUAUCUUGUAUUUUCUUUCUACAAUUCUCCGAUCAGCUGAGAUGCUACAGUGGUCUUAAAACGGUCAUUAGGUGGCACUGAAAACUGAAUGAAUUGAAAACCAUAAGUACUUAUUUAUACAUCAGCAUCUGCACUCCACGGCGCAGAAAUGUGAACUGAUUAAAUUCGUAAUGAGAGUCCAUUGUAGAGGCAGAAAUUAACUAAAGGAAAACGCGGAGCAGCGUUUUAAAUAUAUAACUCGGUUCUCCAAUUCUUCUUUUCACGA